Molecule: long non-coding RNA, 538 nt
Organism: Oreochromis aureus
Lineage: Eukaryota; Metazoa; Chordata; Actinopteri; Cichliformes; Cichlidae
Exons: 3
Source: RefSeq, a predicted model, not a curated record
GAAACAUCUGUGCUGUGUCUGCUCUUUCUGAUCUCACUGCUGAGCUGCACAACAAACCAAGACUUUAAACCAGAGCCAGACGUCAUCUACUCUUCACUGAAGUAGUCCACCAAUCCAACCACUGACAUCCACUGCUGGUCUCUGAUUGGUCCUCUCAGCAUCUCAAGAGUACAACUGCUUGUUGAAAUACUUUUAUAUAUUUUGCGCCUUUUUCUCACUGAACCUUACUCAAAUGACUCAAAAAGGACAUAUUUUUAACAGAAUUUUCUGCCAAGUAGGCAAUGAUCAUAUAAAUGUGUUAAUAUACUUUAUUAACUUUAUUGUUAUGUAAAUGUUAUUUAUGCUCGGUGACUUAUGACUGCACUCUGGUUUCUUUGGCAGAUUAAUAAACCUCAGUUCUUGUAUAACGUUCCUGUGUGGGUAUGUGGGCUUUGCCAAGCUGUGAGAUGGAAAAUAUGACUUGUUUGAUUGUGGCUAACCAAUGGAAAUGUCUCUUCAGUGGAGAACACAAACAAUAAACCAAAUCAAAUCACUUUUA